Molecule: long non-coding RNA, 642 nt
Organism: Carassius carassius (crucian carp)
Lineage: Eukaryota; Metazoa; Chordata; Actinopteri; Cypriniformes; Cyprinidae
Exons: 3
Source: RefSeq, a predicted model, not a curated record
UUGUACAUGCAAAUGCAUGAUGGGAAAUUAACGGACAGUCCUGUAAUAUUAUUGUAACUACACCGUAGAAGCAUUUUUUUUACAGCCACCGCAUAGCAUUGUGGGAUCGCUGCUGUUUGAAUUUUGAAAUUACGCGGCCAACGGACGGUACCAGAAGAAUUCUGGAAGAAGGAACAUGAGAGGCACUAGGUGCAGACAAAUGGAUGAUGUCUUUGGAAGGGACAACUGUGAUGGGGCCCCACAACAGCCUUCUGAAUGGAGUGGUAGCGACCUUCGCUGUCUACGUGUUUAACUAACAGUAUCCUAAAGAGGCCUCAAGCACUAAAGAGCUUUUUGUGGAAUCAACUCCAAGAUGUCAGCAAAGCAGAGAAGAGACAUGGGCUCAACGCACUUGUCUGCACCCUAUUAAGAAGACUCCUGGAUUUUGAGUUGAUGGGCUAGUAUUUAUGCCCACCCACACCCCACAGCUUCCUAGACUGGUUGGGACCUUUUGUUAUUUAUUAUCAUGUUCCCCCUGUUGAUAGACUGUCUGGACGUCUGGAAGUGAGCUAGAUUCUUCAGUGAAACUGUAAUUUUGUUUGUAUGGAGAAAAAAAAAGAUAAAAUAAUUUUGUAAUAUGUGAUGUUGCAUAGUGUUAAUAAA